This is a non-coding RNA of Trichosurus vulpecula (common brushtail), 423 nucleotides long. The record is from the annotation of a RefSeq genome assembly. NCBI's taxonomy places the organism in Eukaryota, Metazoa, Chordata, Mammalia, Diprotodontia, Phalangeridae.
AUGAAAUUUAGACUGAACUGGAUUUUCCUUCUGAGUAUUUUCCAAGGUGUUCAAUGUGAUGUGCAGCUGGUGGAGUCUGGGGGAGAUGUGAGACAACCUGGAGGUUCUCUUCGUCUCUCCUGCAAAGCUUCUGGAUUUACCUUCAGCAGCUGCUACAUGCAUUGUGUCCACCAGGCUCCAGGGAAGGGACUGGCAAGGGUUGCAGUUAUUGGUAGUAAUACAUAUUAUGCAGACUCUGUGAAAGGUCAAUUCACCAUCUCCAGAGAUGAUGGCAAGAGCAUGUUACAUCCACAGAUGAGUUCCCUUAAUACUGGGGAUACAGCUUUAUAUUACUGUGCAAAAGACAGUGAGGAAAAGGAAUGUGAGACCAAGAAACUUCCCUUGCCAGGAGGGGAGGUGCCAGUCAGUCCAGAAGGGGGCUGA